UACGGAGGAUCCGAGCGUUAUCCGGAUUUAUUGGGUUUAAAGGGUGCGUAGGCGGCCUUUUAAGUCAGCGGUGAAAGUCUGUGGCUCAACCAUAGAAUUGCCGUUGAAACUGGGGGGCUUGAGUAUGUUUGAGGCAGGCGGAAUGCGUGGUGUAGCGGUGAAAUGCUUAGAUAUCACGCAGAACCCCGAUCGCGAAGGCAGCCUGCCAAGCCAUGACUGACGCUGAUGCACGAAAGCGUGGGGAUCAAACAGG
RNAcentral lists this ribosomal RNA (253 nucleotides) under Parabacteroides distasonis. RNAcentral describes it as "partial 16S ribosomal RNA". It matches the Rfam family "Bacterial small subunit ribosomal RNA", at positions 524 to 776 of the family's 1533-position model. Lineage: Bacteria; Pseudomonadati; Bacteroidota; Bacteroidia; Bacteroidales; Tannerellaceae. The record is from RNAcentral.